GAGAGGCUUUGGAGCAGAGAUGCUAAAAUAUCACCGUGUAGGGUUUCCCUGUCAGGUUUGGAUGCUUUGAGAGACACCUGACACUCGGUGUUUUUGCAUCUAUGCAAAACCUCAGUUUCUCCGGGAAAGGAGAGAAAUGCAGGCGUUUUGAUCAACUGUCAAUGACAGCUUGCAGGUAGAGAGAUGAGAUUUCCAAGCUCUAAGGUUAUACAGUAGUUCUCUGGCUCCUUGUGGGAUAGAAAGUUUUGAACAGUGCCUCCCCAAGAAGUGUGAUGAGAAAUGGCUUUAGGAAACAAUACCCAGAGAAGUUAUUCCAUCAUCCCCUGCUUCAUCUUUGUUGAGGAACUUCUUAUGAGAUGGGAGGGGAGUUCUGGAAACUCUUGGAGGAACAUUAGGAUGCCAGUGAGGACAGCUACCAUGAGCCCAUGUCUGCUAACAGCAGCCUCUAGUCAACUCUGCCAGCUGCUCCUGAUCCAACAGGGCCCUGAGCUUGCAGAUCUUGAGUCUUGAGCAAGGAGGGUCAAGUGAGACACUGGCACAGCUUGCCGAGAUGCUGCAGCUUCCAAACCCUGAACCUUCAACUACAGCAGGAGAACAAACCCUGAACCUUUAACUGCAGCAGGAGAACACAUGGAGUCUCUGUUUACUAAGGUUGGAAAGUGGAAACUCCACUGAUGAUGAAAGUUAGAAGCUGGUAGCUUCUAGCCCUGGGGGAGCAACCCCUGCUCCACGUGCAGAUCUGCAGCCAUGAGAAGAGGUUCAGUGUCAAGGCAUCUCCCUGGAUGAGAGCUCUGCACAGGGAAAUAAUUGAACCAGCUGGACCUUAACCAUGUGGCAAGAGAAAAUGGUGAGUGGUAGUGUUGAGAUAUUCUCUACCAGUGAAGAGUGAAGUCCACCAUGAGUGCCUUCCUUAAUACUGCUGUUGAGGAGGAGGAGAGUAUGAAGAGGACUGGAUGGAUCUGGUCCACAGUUGAGGUCACAAAUCACAGAAUAGUCUGAGUUAGAAGGGAUCAAGUCCAGCUCUUAAGUGAAUGACCCACACCUGUGUUUGUCCUGCUGAUGUCAGCAGCAGGGUUUGGCUUCUGUGUCCAUGCAACUCUCUUUGAGGAUCUGUACUGCUUAGAAGGCAAUCAUCCUGACCAAGUGGAGCAAAAGCAGCUUUGCCAGCAGCCUGGCUG
Molecule: long non-coding RNA, 1178 nt
Filed under: Parus major (Great Tit)
Lineage: Eukaryota; Metazoa; Chordata; Aves; Passeriformes; Paridae
Description: lncRNA (ENSPMJG00000012744.1)
Source: RNAcentral